Molecule: long non-coding RNA, 548 nt
Organism: Triticum dicoccoides
Lineage: Eukaryota; Viridiplantae; Streptophyta; Magnoliopsida; Poales; Poaceae
Exons: 2
Source: RefSeq, a predicted model, not a curated record
CUCCUCCCUCAUUUUUCAUUAUGACAUAUAUAUUAGCUACCUCGGUUGUCUCAACACCCAGGGUUAGAAAUAAAGGUAGCAUUGAAAGAGCAAGAACAACUUCUUGUAUAUAUCCAUGGCGGAGCGGAGCAACGUUGGAAACCUUGGGUUGGCGGCGACAGUCGCCGUGGUUUCAACCGGCAUCAUCCUCAUCUCCUUCCACCUUAUCCGCCGCCUCAAGGACAAUACCAAGCUCAACAAUAUCACCGCGCAAGAGCAACAGAGCUAGACGAUCAAGAAUGAGAUGCAGUUCACGGAUGACGUGUUGGCGGAUCUCUUCCCGGACGACGAGGAGUUUGCCAGCUGGCUAGAGGGUAUGACCGUGACUGGUGGCCUAAUCCAGUCACCGUUAUGAAGGGUCCCUCGAUUCAACAAUUUGGCAGACAUGCUUAAUUAAUUAGCUAGUAUUGCAGCUGGUCGGACAACAAGAAAUUAAGCAACAUUUUGCAUGCACAUCCAGUCAAGUUAAUUAUUAUUACCAUCUCAUUUAUAAUAAUUAAGGUGUUUAA